AUUGAACGCUGGCGGCAUGCCUUACACAUGCAAGUCGAACGGUAACGCGGGGCAACCUGGCGACGAGUGGCGAACGGGUGAGUAAUACAUCGGAACGUGCCCAGUAGUGGGGGAUAGCCCGGCGAAAGCCGGAUUAAUACCGCAUACGACCUACGGGUGAAAGCAGGGGAUCGCAAGACCUUGCGCCAUUGGAGCGGCCGAUGUCAGAUUAGGUUGUUGGUGGGGUAAAGGCCUACCAAGCCGACGAUCUGUAGCUGGUCUGAGAGGACGACCAGCCACACUGGGACUGAGACACGGCCCAGACUCCUACGGGAGGCAGCAGUGGGGAAUUUUGGACAAUGGGCGCAAGCCUGAUCCAGCCAUGCCGCGUGCGGGAAGAAGGCC
This 384-nucleotide ribosomal RNA is filed under the name uncultured bacterium. RNAcentral describes it as "bacterial SSU rRNA". It matches the Rfam family "Bacterial small subunit ribosomal RNA", at positions 29 to 416 of the family's 1533-position model. The record is from RNAcentral.